RNAcentral lists this long non-coding RNA (4400 nucleotides) under Monodelphis domestica (gray short-tailed opossum). RNAcentral describes it as "lncRNA (ENSMODG00000027574.2)". Lineage: Eukaryota; Metazoa; Chordata; Mammalia; Didelphimorphia; Didelphidae. The record is from RNAcentral.
AUGAUGGAGAAACUUCUCCAGAUGGUGGAAGGUAUGCAUAUUGAGGAGGCGCCUUCCCGGUCGGGGCUCCAGCCGGAGCCCCCGAGAGCUCAGAAGCGGCCCCUCUCACCGCAGGCUGGCUUGAGCUCUCCUAAAAGGAAAGUUGUGCCUAGAAUGGUAGAGAACAAGCCGUUUGAGGCUGUGAUUUCUGUAGAUGAGAGUAAGGGAGAGGAGAGGAAAGAAACGGCAGGCAGCGGAUUAGAGCGGGAAGCCCCGCAAGCUGAUUCUGUCAAAGGGUUGCUAGAAAGCAAAAAUGAGAAUGUGCCGGUCGGUCUGGGUGACCAGGCUGAGAGGGCUGAGUUUGCCGGGGCAGGAUUAGCUCCGGCAGAGGCUAAGAUUGAGGCAACUGCGGUAGCCGAGAUGGUACCGAAUACGGGGGAGAAGGCGCCGAGUCUCUUGCCUUCCCAGGGCUUGGAAGCAAAAUCUGCUUCCGUAGAGAGCAUGCGUGAAGUUUCUGGGCUAGUCCCUGAGAGUGUGGAUGCUGACAUUAACCGAUCGCCUUCCCGGGCUUCUGACAAAGUAGGGGGACAACCUGUGGCAACUGAAAUGGUCACAGAGAAGGCGGAUACUGCCGCCGCUUUUUCGGCUUCUGAAGGCUCUGAUACAGCUGGGUUUGCUCCUGCCGAGGGCGAGAGCGACAUUGAAAUAGGGGGAAUGCAGGCGGAGGAGGGGCUUCCUUCCACAGGUCUGCCGGCUUCCCAGGGUCCUGACCCAAAAUCGGCUGAUGCGGAGGGGAAAGCUGGAGCCGCUGUUUUACCAUCUGAGGGGGCUGAUGUGAAAUAUGUUGUCCUGGAACGUGAUGCUGGGGGAAACCAAAUGUCUGAGGCAGUGGCUACUGCCCAGAAGGUUUUGUCUCUUGAAAGUGGGGAGAACAAACCUCUCUCUCCUGCAAGCAAGGAUAAGGUUUCUAAGGUGUUACCGGAAUGUGUUGACCCCAGUAUGAAAGUCUUGUUGGUUGAAAGUCGGGGCGGGGAAGGGAUUGUAUCCGAAAGUAAAGGGAUGGAUUCAUCUUUGUUGUCUGAGGCAGGGUCACCUGCUCAGGUUGUCUUGUCUGUUAAAUGUGUUAAGCCUGUAUGUAAGCCUCCCCCGGGGAGCCCAACCCUGGCCCCAGAAAUGAUAGCAGGAAGACUGUCGCCCACCCUCGCUGCCUUGUCGGCACCCCGUCCGGAGACCAGUGACAUGUCCCCGGAGAGCAAACAUGCUGUAAGCGGAAUGCUCUCUGAGAGGGGGUCUCCCACCUCAGACAUCCUGAACUCGGAGGGAUUAGAGGUUAGUUUAUCCCCAGACGGGAAACUGAUUGUGAGCGAGGUAUUACUGGAGACGGGGGCUCCCGGCUCCAGUAUGCUGGACUCAGAGGGUUUGGGCACCAAAUAUGUUACGGAAGACAGAAAGUCCACCAUUUCUGAUGAGAAGGGGUCCGUAACAUCUGGGGCAAGAUGCGCUACACCGGAGAGCAAACCGGGGGUCAGUGGGCUUUUUGUAAAGAUCGCCUCCCCAACGUCAUCCAUCCUGAACUCCGAGGGGCUGCCAGCGGGACGCGUUUUGGAAGAGAGGAAGCACGGAGAACUUGGGAUCAGCCCGGAGGGGGCUUCCGCAGCCCCCCACGAGGACUCCUCUAAAGGUUCCAAGUCCGGCUCCUCUUCGCCAGAGCGUAAGCCUGUCAUUAGCGAACUGUUAACCCUCUCACUACCAUUAAACGCCCCCCCUGCCGAAUGUUCAGAUUCCGACGGUGCCUCCCCAGAGAGGAAGCCUGUCGUCUCCAGAACAUUCCUGGGAAGACUUUCCCCUCCCAUUAGCAUUUCAUCGACAGAGUAUUCAGAUACAGAAUGUCCCUCCCCAGAAGGGGAGCCUUCAGGACCCCGUUCCUUUUCAGGCAGAUUGUCACCUCCCAUUAGUAUCUCUUCUACUGAAUAUUCUGAUGAGGAGUGUGCUUCCCCUGAAAGGAAGCCUUCCGUGCCUCCGGGCUUCAUAGAACUUCAGCCCAGAGCCAUCAGAAUUGCCCCCGCCAGCUACACCCCUCCCGACUACUUUUGCUCUGACCGAAAGCCGGUUGUAACUGGGCUUCUUCCUCUGCCCCUGCCCCUCCCCCUGCCCCUCCCCCUGCCUCUGCCUCUGCCUCUGCCCCUGCCCCAGCCCCAGCCCCAUCCCCAAAGGCGAUCUCCCAACCCCAGCGUUUCUUCCUAUGAGGGGUCUGACACGAGCUGGGCUUCUCCGGAGCGAAAGUCAGUGGUGAGGGGAAGGAUCUCGGGGAGAAUUUCUCCCGAGACCCUGGAGUUUGCCUCUGAGAGCUCUGAGGCGGGCUGCGCUUCCCCGGAGAGGAAGCCGGUCGUGGAGGACAUCUGUCCUGGCAGACUCUCUCCAGACUUAAGUAACUUAUCAUCGUCGGAGUGGUCUGAGGAGAAUAGCAGCGCUUCCCCGGAGAGGAAGCCGGUGGUCCCCAGAACCCUCCUGGGCCGCCUCUCGCCCCCCAUCAGUAUAUCAUCCACUGAAUAUUCAGACACCGAGUGCCCUUCCCCCGAGAGGAAGCCGGCAGGAAGCAGGAUCCCCGAGGGGGGGCUGUCCCCGCCUAUCAGUAUCUCCUCCACCGAGUACUCUGAUAGCGAGUGCCCCUCCCCCGAGAGGAAGCCCCUGGAGCCCGGGAUGUACUUAGGCAGGCUCUCGCCGCCCCUGAGUGUUUCCUCCACCGAAUACCCCCAUCUGGGGUGUUCUUCAGCGGAGAGGAAACCUGUGAUAAGUGGCCUCUUCUUGCCACCAGUGCCUCAGCGCCCCUCUGUACUGUCUGAUGUCCUGGAGAACAGAUGUGUCUCCCCAGAAAACAGGCCUGAGCCACUCUUGUCGGCCACGAGUGUGUUGUCCCCCGGGGGUCUGGAGACCCGAUGCGUCUCCCCAGAGAGCAAACCUACGACCAGUGGGGUGUUCUCAGAGGCUGCCUCUCCCGGCCCAAACGACCUGGCCGAGGAGGCUCUGGAAGAGAGAAGCGAGUCUCCCGAGAGGCCAGUGGGAGCCGAGAUCUUCUCAGAGCCGCUGUUCCCCUCCAGCAGCAUUUUGCCCACAGACUGUUUGGACACUCGUUCCAUUUCCCCCGACACCAAACCUUCCGGCAGCGCAGCUCUGGAAGAGACCCUGUUCUCAGCCACCAACAUCCUGACUCCCGAGUUCUCGGAGACGCGCUGUGUCUCUCCUGGCGGCAAAGCACCAGGAAGUGGGGCGUUCUCGGAGACGCUGUCUCCACCUGCCAACAUCUUGUCCUCUGAAAGCUCAGAGACGACCUGUGCCGCCCCAGAGAGCAAGCCCACCGCCACCGGGCUGCUCUCGGAGACCCUGGCUCCACCCGCAAACAUCUUGGCCUCUGAAAGCGCCGAGACCCCCCCUGUCUCCACUGAGAGCAAGCCUCAAGGGGGCGUCUUCCCUGAAAGACUCUCCCCCCCCAUCAGCGGCUCUUCCACAGGGUCCACGAACUCUGCCACCUCGACCCAGAGCACCAAACCCGUGGUGAGCACUGUGCCCGCACAGGCCCUGCCCCCCCCCAUUAGCACUCCCUCCACCGAGUGUCCGGACACUGGCUUGUCUUCCCCCAAGAGGAAGCCCAUAAUCACCAGGCUGGAGGUGGAGGGAGACGCCCAGGUCACAGGCUUUGUCCCUUCCCUGUGCCACGAGACAAAACUGGCCCCAAGAAUGACUGGACUGGUCCCUGAAAGCGUAGCGGUGGGCGCCGGCGACUCUCAGAGCUCUGAGAGCAAGCCCGGGGCCUCCAGAGUCCUCCGAGAAAGCGCCCCUGCUGCGGCCGGCCUUUUGCCCCGUGCCCCUCCCAGCCCCAGAGGCCGCCCCACAGACAGCGGCCCCGUGGACGCUGUGUUUCCCUCCACGAGCCGCGGGGACACUGAACGCUAUCCCAGGAGCAGGUCUCCCUUCCCCGGCCUCUCCCCCUCCCAGAGGUCCGAACCCAGAAUGCCGCCUCCUGCGGCACCCCGAAUGCCGACCAACAUCGUGGAUCCUUCCUCGCUCCUGCCGGCUUCCCGGGCGUCGGGCCCAAGGCUUGCCUCCGCAGAGAGCACUCCCCGAGGAGUCUGGAAUGGCCUCCCAAGGACCGCGUCCCGCGCCAGGCGUCGUGCCCCCUCCGCGUCCGGAGUCAAGAGCCGCGUGCACAGAGAGGAUCUCCCCCACCGCAGGUAUUGGGGCUCUGCUGUAUUGCGAGACCGAAGAUGUUUCCGAUGGUGAACCCGGAGUUUCCGCAGAGUUCUCGGAGGGCAGCUCUCCCACCGCAGGUAUCGGGGCCCUGCUCUACUGUGAGACGGAAGACGUUUCCGAUGGGGAACCUGGGGUUUCCGGAGGGUUCUCGGAGACCAUCUCUCCCACCUCAG